Molecule: non-coding RNA, 1055 nt
Organism: Malus domestica (apple)
Lineage: Eukaryota; Viridiplantae; Streptophyta; Magnoliopsida; Rosales; Rosaceae
Source: RefSeq, a predicted model, not a curated record
GGGAUCAUAUCUAUUUCAAUCUUGUUUCCCCCCGUACAUUUAUGAUCGAGAUCAAAAAUUUCUUCCUUUCGUUUUGACUAUUUCGAUUAGAGUUUAGGGUCGAUCAGCAAUUUUUUUUUGGCGAAUUAUGGGUUAUGUGGGAUCGUUUAGUACAAUGGCAUCUUCUUCGGACUCAUGGAUAAAGGAAUAUAACGAAGCAACAAAACUUGCUGAUGAUAUCAGUGGUAUGAUAUCUGAACUGAGUACAUUGCCUGCAGGUCCUGACACCCAGCGUCAUGUCUCUGCUAUACGGCGGAAGAUUACAAUAUUGGGGACUAGACUUGAUAGCUUACAGUCCCUUCUGUCAAAACUCCCUGGAAAACAGCACAUAUCAGAGAAAGAGAUGAAUCGUCGAAAGGAUAUGAUAGGAAAUUUAAGAUCGAAGUGAAGCAGAUGGCUUCAACAUUGACGUCCAACUCUUCCAACCGAGAUAGCUUGCUGGGGCCAGAAAUAAAUAAAACUGAUGCCAUGGGAAGAACAGUUGGACUAGACAACUACGGCCUUGUUGGUUUGCAACGACAAAUUAUGAAAGAGCAAGAUGAGGGGCUUGAGAAAUUGGAGGAGACUGUAAUAAGCACAAAACAUAUUGCAUUGGCAGUCAAUGAAGAACUUGACCUACACACUAGACUUAUUGAUGACUUGGAUGAUCAUGUGGAAGUUACGGACUCUCGGCUACGGCGGGUGCAGAAGAACUUGGCAGUUUUGAACAAGCGGACAAAGGGUGGUUGCUCUUGCAUGUGCAUGCUUUUAUCUGUCGUCGGGAUCGUAGUUCUGAUUGCUGUGAUAUUUUUGCUGAUCAAAUACUUGUAAUAAUGCCAACUUUAAGUGUAUACCGAGUCUCAUGAUUUCCAGUUUGUGUGUGUUUGAUGUGGAUUGCUGUCUUCGUUGUGAUGAUGUAUUCGGCUUUCAUGGUUUUUUCGGUUUGUGAAUUUGUGUGUUGUUAAAAUAAUUGUAAAUUUUAUUUAUUGGCACGUAUUAGUACCAUCUUUGAAUAUUUUCUGUUUUUCAUUGUUUAA